CUUGGACACACAAAUGAAGUGUGGGUUCUCGGCAGCGCCCUGUGCACACUCGCCAGCUGACUUCGAAGGCCUCCGGACUUCUGCCAGGGAUGGGUGUGGGUGGUCGGCGGGGGCCUGGGUGGUGCCUCCUCGGGCGGGGGCGAUGAGGCCACCGCAGGGUGCGACACGGCCAUGGACAGCCGCCGGACUGAAGUCACAUCAAGGGAUAAGAAGUAAGAAAAAAUUCAACGUAAGAUCUAGAGAUGCCACUUCCCGCGGGAGCCAACCGAGUGCGAGCGGCUUCCGCGGGAGGCAGCCCGUCGUGCCCGGGCCACGUGACGUAUGUCGCCCAGGGGCCAAGUUAAACUGGGUAAUUGUCUACGCGGAAGGGGUCAGCGCUAACAAACGGAACAUAGUCUCUGUGUUCGAUCCGUAA
This 415-nucleotide long non-coding RNA is filed under the name Vulpes vulpes (red fox). RNAcentral describes it as "lncRNA (ENSVVUG00000021491.1)". Lineage: Eukaryota; Metazoa; Chordata; Mammalia; Carnivora; Canidae. The record is from RNAcentral.